GACGGGCAUGGUAUGCCAGGUAUGGAUCGGGUUGACAGCCUUGCAGAGCACCUGGUAGAACUGAGGACACAGACCUCCAUGACUCUCAGCAACCAGCAGGGAAGCACAAUUGUGGCCCUGUGGCAAAACCUGCUGGACGUUGACAGAGGGCCCAGCAAUCUACAGUGAGCUGGUCACUGCCGGAGGCCCCGCUGGAGUCUGAGCUGAAGGAGUUUCUGGUGAAUCUGUGUGCUGUAAAUCAUUUUGUCUGAUGUUGCAGGGAAUCAGACCCAAUGACAAACAUUAAGAAUAGUAUUAUCUUCUUCAAAUGAUUUGUUCUUGUUGUUUCACGUGUUCCAGGCCCAAAGACAAUAAAGUUAAAUCUUUAAUAUCA
Sebastes umbrosus (honeycomb rockfish) is the source of this 373-nucleotide long non-coding RNA. RefSeq lists it as uncharacterized. The record is from RefSeq and is a predicted model, not a curated record. NCBI's taxonomy places the organism in Eukaryota, Metazoa, Chordata, Actinopteri, Perciformes, Sebastidae. The transcript is spliced from 2 exons.